RNAcentral lists this ribosomal RNA (631 nucleotides) under uncultured Bacteroidales bacterium. Its description in RNAcentral is "bacterial SSU rRNA". It matches the Rfam family "Bacterial small subunit ribosomal RNA", at positions 86 to 715 of the family's 1533-position model. Lineage: Bacteria; Pseudomonadati; Bacteroidota; Bacteroidia; Bacteroidales. The record is from RNAcentral.
UGGUGGCGACCGGCGCACGGGUGAGUAACGCGUAUGCAACCCACCUAUCAGAGGGGAAUAACCCGGCGAAAGUCGGACUAAUACCGCAUAAAACAGGGACACCGCAUGGUGAUAUUUGUUAAAGAAAUUCGCUGAUAGAUGGGCAUGCGUUCCAUUAGGUAGUUGGUGAGGUAACGGCUCACCAAGCCGACGAUGGAUAGGGGAACUGAGAGGUUGGUCCCCCACACCGGUACUGAGACACGGACCAGACUCCUACGGGAGGCAGCAGUGAGGAAUAUUGGUCAAUGGGCGAGAGCCUGAACCAGCCAAGUCGCGUGAAGGAAGAAGGAUCUAUGGUUCGUAAACUUCUUUUGCAGGGGAAUAAAGUGCAGGACGUGUCCUGUUUUGUAUGUACCCUGAGAAUAAGGAUCGGCUAACUCCGUGCCAGCAGCCGCGGUAAUACGGAGGAUCCGAGCGUUAUCCGGAUUUAUUGGGUUUAAAGGGUGCGUAGGUGGUUUGAUAAGUCAGCGGUGAAAGUUUGCAGCUUAACUGUAAAAAUGCCGUUGAAACUGUCGGACUUGAGUGUAAAUGAGGUAGGCGGAAUGCGUGGUGUAGCGGUGAAAUGCUUAGAUAUCACGAAGAACUCCGAUUG